RNAcentral lists this long non-coding RNA (1761 nucleotides) under Theobroma cacao (cacao). Its description in RNAcentral is "long non-coding RNA (TCAC_LNC001980)". Lineage: Eukaryota; Viridiplantae; Streptophyta; Magnoliopsida; Malvales; Malvaceae. The record is from RNAcentral.
GGCCAAGCAAGGAAGAGAGGGAAAGAAAGGAAGAACAAACCCUAGGUGAGGAAUUUCAAGAGAAAAAGUGUGAAAAAUCAAGGAAAACAAGUGAAAAAGGUAGGAUUUUUCAACUUAAGCUUGAAAUCUAUUUUCCUUAAGCAUUUCUCCUUAUUUUCCAUGCUUAAAUUACAUGUUUUUAUAAUGAAUUGUUGGCUGAUCAAAAUGGGUUAGGAGAGAAAAAGUUGUUAGAUUAAUUUGAUUUUAAGUUAUGUUAGUGUUUUGAGUUAGUUUAGCAUAUAUAGAAACAAAACAAUAAGAAAAGAAUUUAUUUUCUCCCACAACCAUUAAUGGCCGAAUUUACCAUGUAUGAGUGAGGAUGAGUUUGAUUUUUAUUCUAGGAGAAUUGGUUAAGAAAUGAUGAAUUAUGAGCCUAGAAAAAUAAUGGGAAUUUUCGGAACAAAAAUACGAAUUUUUACCCACUAGGGGUAUUUUCGUAAUUUACUGUCGAGACUGAUAAUUUGCGCCACACUGAGGAACAUUAAGUCAAUUUGGGUGAAAUUGAGGUAUAGAAACUGAAAAAAAUUAAUUUGGGAUUAAAUUGGACGCGUUAGUAAUUUAAUCGGGUGAUAAGACGAAUUAGGCCAAUACCGAGUUUAGAUAGUUAUCAAUGCAUUUUUGCAUUCCAUAUUAUGCAUUAAUAGUCUAAAUUAGUUUAAUUUCAAUUUAGUACCAAUGUAGUGAAUUUCUCAAUUUUGUACUGUGUCAAGGUGGUGAGUCCUCCGAUAAAGGUAAGGAAAUUGCAUCCGAGGACCAGUAGACAGAGUGCGUCGAAAGUCUGCAUUCUAGACAUUGUGAGUAAACUUACUGUCAUUUUAAUUAUCUAGGGUAGUUUUUAGGGGAUUUCAUGAAUUCUAUGGAAAAUGGAAUUUAAAAAGGUAAAUUUUCAUGUUUUAUGAAUAAAUGUGUUUCAAUGAAAUUAAAUUAUAAAUUGUUUUGAAAUUAAUAAUGAUUUUGAAAAAUAGAGUACACGGAGACUAUUAAUUGUGGCAAUUUGAUUGUUUAAAUUGAUUGGCUUAUGAUAAAUCGGGCAUGAUUGGCUAGUUGGCAAUUGUAUUGAAAUACAAAUUGUUUGGUUAUCUUGAAAGAUUGCGAAUUACAAAAUUGCCAUCUCAUGUUAUUGAGUUUUAUUGUAUGGUGGAUUAUAUAUUAAUUAAUCACUGCAAUAGGGAGUUUCUGUGGAUCAGCCUUUUAGAGGGGUAUAGUAAACCCCAUUAUAUUCUUACCUCGAAUGGAGAGGCGUGUAAGGUAUCUCCUAGGGUAAAGUUUAGAGUUCACUUCACGCUAAACCACCACGUGAGGGGGAACUCAGCCAACGCCAAGGAACGGCUAUGUUUUCAAAACAAAAACAUGAUUUAUGUGAAAUGUGAAUUUUAAUAGCCUUGGCGGUCUCGAUAAGAUGCCUAGGCCAAGGUGUCCCUGAGAAUGGAUUUAUGGCACAAGUCUAGUUUUUAUGAAAUUCAUAAGCCUCUUUACAUAUUUUAAAUGAAAUGUAUUCUAAUGCUAUGACCCAGUUUACGAUGAUUUAUUUUAUUAUCUCCAUGUACUCAACUCUAGAUAUUUAUGAUGAUGUAUGUUUACUCAUUGGGAUUUUAUAAUCUCACCACCCUCCUUUCCACCCAUUUCAGGUUCAGUAUAGGCUGUAGAUAGCUGAUCUCAUCGAGGACUACCGUUGGAUCUGCAUUUUCCAAACCGUAAGUUCACAGUCCUCUUUACUUUUGU